GAGCUAGAACUCUUGAAGCAAGGUUCAAGGAGCACUGUCUUUGGAUCGAUUGUUGUGUUGAUCACCAUUGGAGGACAGAUAUUUGUAUACUUUGUGAAAAUAAUUCUUCACCAAAUCAAAAUUCAAAAAGUAUACUUCCUAAUACUUCUUGUAGAUCUAUGCUUUGAUUGGUAUUAUCAAGGAUUUUUGGGUAUUAGGAUUUUGGUGCACUAGUAUGUUUUGAAUAGAAAUUUUAAACAUCUAGACCUUCCUCUACACCACUGAAAGUUAACACUCAUAUUUUCAUCUACUUGAGAGAUUGAUGAGGUAGUUGGAG
This 316-nucleotide long non-coding RNA is filed under the name Elaeis guineensis (African oil palm). RNAcentral's name for it is "long non-coding RNA (EGUI_LNC040348)". The record is from RNAcentral. Lineage: Eukaryota; Viridiplantae; Streptophyta; Magnoliopsida; Arecales; Arecaceae.